Molecule: long non-coding RNA, 935 nt
Organism: Musa acuminata AAA Group (dessert banana)
Lineage: Eukaryota; Viridiplantae; Streptophyta; Magnoliopsida; Zingiberales; Musaceae
Exons: 3
Source: RefSeq, a predicted model, not a curated record
UUUAUGUGCCGCUUUGGCGGCUGCCGUUCUCGUCCUUCGGCGCUGGACCCGUCUUGCCGCGUGAAGCGUGAUAUUUGUUCUCCUUUUCCCGACGUUCUCCCGAGGAAUCGGCGGAUUCGACCACCGUAAUUAGAUUCCCUUCCGUCGGAGCUCCCGAUCGAGGGGAUUGACACUUUGAUACCUCAAUCCGAGUGGAGUUGAGGAGGGACUCUAGUUUGGGUGCACGAUGAGAAUUAAGGAGUCGGAAGAUGGAGGAUCCGAGGAUUCUGGCUGCAGGUGGUCGGAUUCUUUUCUGUCCCUCACUUGUAUACAAUGUCGUCGGAACAGGACGCAAGCUGAGUUCCGAUUGUGGGAUGAGAUCGUCAGGUUUGGUCUUUGAGUUUUCAGUUUACACUCUUGGGUGCUGUACCAUCUCCAAAUAUGUCCCUCGUUUGCACCAGCUUGGAAUUCGAGAAGUCAUUAGUUCGAAUGAACCAUAAGAAAUUUCGGCUCCAUCAGACAUACGGUAAAAAUUGCCUACUCAUCAUAUCUAGAUAUGGUAAAAAAAUUUAUUUUUGGAUGGUACAGUUCUCUUAAGGUUCAUUCUUUUGUUCAGAUAUUUUCUUUUUUUUUCUUUUCUUUUUUGUCUGAUAUAUAUUUUAUCAUUCUAAUCAUCCGAAAAAUUCUGACUUUCAUGUAAGUAGGACCACCACUAUUAAGGACUUUUAGGACUAACAUUAGAACUGAAAAAGUUAUGCUGUUGCCAAAAGAAACCAAGAUUUGCAUUCACAAAACUAUAUUACAAACAAUUCAGUAAUACCCAGAAGCCAUAUGUCAAAGUUGAAUCUUUUACCCAUGUUUCACUGAUUAAUGUUCAUAAUUCAAAAUCCAAAGCUAUGCAUGUUCUGCAGUAAGUUCUGCAUCUGCAAGUGCAUAAUAAGAAAUUUAAUAGACUU